UAGAGUUUGAUCAUGGCUCAGAGCGAACGCUGGCGGCAGGCUUAACACAUGCAAGUCGAGCGGGCGUAGCAAUACGUCAGCGGCAGACGGGUGAGUAACGCGUGGGAACAUACCUUUUGGUUCGGAACAACACAGGGAAACUUGUGCUAAUACCGGAUAAGCCCUUACGGGGAAAGAUUUAUCGCCGAAAGAUUGGCCCGCGUCUGAUUAGCUAGUUGGUGAGGUAAUGGCUCACCAAGGCGACGAUCAGUAGCUGGUCUGAGAGGAUGAUCAGCCACGUUGGGACUGAGACACGGCCCAAACUCCUACGGGAGGCAGCAGUGGGGAAUAUUGGACAAUGGGCGCAAGCCUGAUCCAGCCAUGCCGCGUGAGUGAUGAAGGCCCUAGGGUUGUAAAGCUCUUUUGUGCGGGAAGAUAAUGACGGUACCGCAAGAAUAAGCCCCGGCUAACUUCGUGCCAGCCGCCGCGGUAAUAC
RNAcentral lists this ribosomal RNA (475 nucleotides) under uncultured Bradyrhizobium sp. RNAcentral's name for it is "bacterial SSU rRNA". It matches the Rfam family "Bacterial small subunit ribosomal RNA", at positions 1 to 526 of the family's 1533-position model. The record is from RNAcentral. Lineage: Bacteria; Pseudomonadati; Pseudomonadota; Alphaproteobacteria; Hyphomicrobiales; Nitrobacteraceae.